ACCAAACUAUUAUAAAAAUACAGUAAACUAAACUUCUAAAAAUAACAACUCUAAUAAAAUACAGCUGUUAUUUUAUAAGAGUCUAUUUGUGUUUCAAUGUUUCAUGAUUGAUCUUACUAUGUACCUAAAUAAAAUGUAAAAAAAAUAUGUUAACAGUGCAUUAUGAUGUAGUACUUAUAUUGUAAUUAGGCAAAUGUAUAUUAAAUUACACACACAUAUUUUACAUUUAUGUGAUAAAAAAACAUUACGUACAUGUGUGCAAUUUAAUGUUAUAAUAUACGAAUAACAUGUUAUUAUGAAAAAAAUUAUACAUAAUUAAACACUGUAUAAUAGUCAGUAAAAGAGAACAUUGAUUAACACUAAUCAUCAGCUCUUUGUGUACAGCACAGCAGGAUGAAGGUGAAUGUCAUCUUCCAGGCAAGAUAAAAGUGUUUAAGGAAAGACCAACUGCAGCAGUGCCUAACUCGGAAAAAGAGCCAACGUCUGUGAAACUUGGUUCUUUGGCCUUGCAGCAUCUGCCUCUCAUCCUCCAGAAGUUGAGGAGUGUGAAGAAUUGGGGAGGAUGAUGCUACCCACAAAUUCAUCUAAAAGCCCAACUGAAUUCAGAAGUUGUUGGAAUCCCAGUGGUCAAAGGUCUUAUUCCUUCUGCACACUAGGAAUGAUUCUGACAUGAAUCAGGAUUAUCUUUUCUACAUUCAUUUGUUGCUGUUUGUUGGUUAGGCCAUGUUCAGGCCUGUUCUAAUUCUUGUGUCAAUUGUUCUAACAUUGAAAAUAUUUAUAUAUCAGUACAUAUAUAUAACUACAGAGUUCGUGAUUUGCAUGUUUUUUUUUGCAUGUUAUUCUUUAAAAGUUUGAUAUGCACAUGAUUUACAGAUGCAUGAAGCUGUAGAGUACUCAUGUACUGUAGAUCAUACCACAUCAUACCACACCCCUAAUAUUAUAAAGAUUCUUAACAUGUGUUCUAUGGGUUUGCAUGCAUUUACAUUACUAUUAAUUAACACAUUAACAUUUUUCUGUGUUAGGUAGGCAUAAACCACCAGCAACUCUCUCAAAACCAGACAGGCCUGAUGAACAUAGUGCUACUUCAUCUCCACGGGAGUGAGGGUUCCUUUGCCAUUACCUCCAGAGUUGUUAAAUUAUCUACAAGCAAGACCACAUCGCCUUUGACACCAGUGAAUGAAACCGUUUUCUGUCAGUUGACCUCUGCACAGUCUACAGACUCUACUCCUCCCUGCAGCUGCUGUCCAGUCUUUCUCAGGACUCCCUGCAGCCUAUUCUGGGUACCCCUCAACUCAAAGUGACUGCCCUCAUGUCUCCUGUUUCUGAAUGUAUGCAUUGUAAUUAUUGUAUCAUAAAAAUAUAACUCUGUAUUUUCAUUGUUAUGGAUAUCUGUUACAUGCAGAAACCACUGUGGUAGUUUAAUACUUUUGGCACAAUCCUAUUUAUAACUGUACUGUAUACAUGCACAUGGGCAGUAGGACCAUCUGUGUUUAACUGAAAAAGUACUGUGUAGCCUUAUUAAGCCUGUUUCUGUUUCUUAAAACUGUCACUUAAUUUCAAAGAUUGAUUAUUUAUUUUGGUCAUCUUGAGAUAUUUCCAGUAUGUGUUCAUUCAAUAUAAUUGCCUUUGUUCACAUUUUUGUGCACUUAACAUGUUUAUAUUGUUGUGGUAGAAUGAUUGUCUUAUAAAA
Molecule: long non-coding RNA, 1690 nt
Organism: Paramisgurnus dabryanus
Lineage: Eukaryota; Metazoa; Chordata; Actinopteri; Cypriniformes; Cobitidae
Source: RefSeq, a predicted model, not a curated record